This 109-nucleotide ribosomal RNA is filed under the name Bacillus subtilis. RNAcentral's name for it is "partial 23S ribosomal RNA". It matches the Rfam family "Bacterial large subunit ribosomal RNA", at positions 2819 to 2925 of the family's 2925-position model. The record is from RNAcentral. Lineage: Bacteria; Bacillati; Bacillota; Bacilli; Caryophanales; Bacillaceae.
CGCAAGGAAGUAAGAUCCCUGAAAGAUGAUCAGGUUGAUAGGUCUGAGGUGGAAGUGUGGCGACACAUGGAGCUGACAGAUACUAAUCGAUCGAGGACUUAACCAAAUU